Molecule: non-coding RNA, 304 nt
Organism: Cyanistes caeruleus (blue tit)
Lineage: Eukaryota; Metazoa; Chordata; Aves; Passeriformes; Paridae
Source: RefSeq, a predicted model, not a curated record
AGAGUAAAGAUGGGAAAACACCUUUGCACAUGACAGCAAUCCAUGGUAGAUUUUCAAGAUCCCAAACCAUCAUUCAAAAUGGAGCUGAAAUAGACUGUGAAGAUAAGAAUGGAAAUACCCCUUUGCACAUAGCAGCUAGAUAUGGCCAUGAGCUAUUAAUCAACACUCUGAUUACGAGUGGUGCUGACACUGCAAAGCGGGGUAUACAUGGGAUGUUUCCUCUCCAUUUGGCAGCAUUAAGUGGAUUUUCAGACUGCUGCAGAAAGCUCCUCUCAUCAGGUAGGAUACUCUUUUAAAUUCUUAC